Molecule: long non-coding RNA, 384 nt
Filed under: Homo sapiens (human)
Lineage: Eukaryota; Metazoa; Chordata; Mammalia; Primates; Hominidae
Description: HSALNT0382337
Source: RNAcentral
CUCGGCCUCCCGAAUUGCUGGGAUUACAGGCAUAAACCACCACGCCCGGCCUAACCUGAGCCAAUUCUAAGAGAUAAGUACUAUUGUCAUUGUUUCUAUUUCACAGGGAAAGAAAUCGAGGCACAGAGACGUUCCAUAGCUUGACCAAGGGCACAGCUGGGGAAGCCAGCUGCCAGGUCAUGAUCAGACCAGUGGAGAAACAGAGGCCUCUGACCAACAGAUAUGUGAAGUAAGUUUGGGAGUAGAUCCUCCAUGCCCAGCUGACAUCUUGACUGCAGCCUCAUGACAGACCCUGAGCUAGAUGAGACCUCUUCAAGCUGUUCUUGGAUUUCUGACCCUCAGAAAUUGUGUGAUCUCACAAUAAUAAAUGAUUGUUGUUGGGUU